UACGUAGGCAGCAAGCGUUGUUCGGAAUUACUGGGCGUAAAGAGUGUGUAGGCGGUGCUCUAAGUCUGUUGUGAAAUCUCCCGGCUUAACUGGGAGGGUGCGGCGGAGACUGGAGUGCUAGAGUGUGGGAGAGGUAAGCGGAAUUCCUGGUGUAGCGGUGAAAUGCGUAGAUAUCUGGAGGAACACCGGUGGCGAAGGCGGCAUCCUGGACCAACACUGACACUGAGGAGCGAAAGCCAGGGGAGCAAACGGG
This 253-nucleotide ribosomal RNA is filed under the name uncultured bacterium. RNAcentral describes it as "partial 16S ribosomal RNA". It matches the Rfam family "Bacterial small subunit ribosomal RNA", at positions 524 to 776 of the family's 1533-position model. The record is from RNAcentral.